Hylaeus anthracinus is the source of this 1608-nucleotide long non-coding RNA. RefSeq lists it as uncharacterized. The transcript is spliced from 2 exons. NCBI's taxonomy places the organism in Eukaryota, Metazoa, Arthropoda, Insecta, Hymenoptera, Colletidae. The record is from RefSeq and is a predicted model, not a curated record.
UUAUGACGAAAUAUUUUGUCGGAAAUGAAAAUUUGGUUUAAAAAUGAUAUUUUGCUUAUUCUUUCGAUUAAAGACUAAAUUAUACCUUACACUAAUUAAAUCUUUAUUGUGGUUUAAUUUCGGACCGAUCCAUAGUUGUCCUGAUCAUCGCGAAACAUCUCUUGGAAAUCGACCGUAGCAUCUCAACGAAUUAACUUAAUAAUGUUUAUAAAAGAAAAUAUAAAUGUAUUCGCAAAGAUGUACUUAAAGAUCUCUUUGCUGUGAAAAGAUUAAAUUUUUUUGUUGGUCUGUUGACUAGGUACAACCUCAAGGACGGAACGUUUUAGGAGCAAAACCGGAUGAAGGGAUUGAACGGGUUUAACGAACGUUCAUUGUAACGUUUUAUUUGAUUUUUGUUCAUAUUCACUGUCUGUUCGUACAGAUCGUAACACAUCGCGUAAUACAAUUUUUGUAGACGAAGUUUCUCCUCCUCUCGCGUGUUCGACGUUAAACAAAAUUACUAAAAAUAGACUCGAUAAAAUCAACCCUUCAAGUCAUUUUUUUUUUUUUAUCCACGUCGUCGCUGGUGUUACCUAAGAUGCGCGUCUCGAAGAAGAGAAUCCGUUUUUCCGUGAAACGCGCAAUAGAAAAACCAGGAUAAAUCUACUCGUUUUCUAAAUGUCGAACGUCGAUGCGAUGUAAACGUUCUGCUUCGCUUUUAACGUUUUUUUUUUUUCUGUUUCGUCGAAAGAUUCACUAAGAAGCGAACUCCCGCUAUAUAAUCAGACCACAGUGAUAGAAUGCAUAACGGCCUCCACGAGUACGACGAAGUCGUAGAUACAGAGUAUAAGUUUGAAAGUUUUGAUUUUUCAUCGCGGAAGAGGCUUCUUAGCGUUUGGGAUCUUUCGAUGCUGGAUUCUGUUACCCUUUGUCCAAAUAUCGCGUCGAAUGUAAUUAUUAUCUAGCGUCGGUUAGAUCGAGUUCACUCUCGAUGAAACGAAAUUAGGCGUAUCAGCAGUCCGAUGGUUCUGAGUUUGGCCAAUCAGGAGGUGCUCUACGAUGAAUUUCGCGCGCAACAAAGCAAAAUCGUUACGGACUACGCGAGCAUCUUUUGUACUGGCACUCGAGGUAUCCUCUUAUCGGAUGGUGUGUUAUCAAACGAUCGUACAAACACGAAUUCAUCAUCAACGGCAAUCGUUACGCGAGUAUUACGCUGGAACGCGACCCGAUCUCUUGUGUCUAUAGUUAUGGCUGAUUGUUCAGGCUGUUCAAGAUCGCUACAUCGUCAUCGGCACGUUGGUGUAUAAAUCUAGUAAAAGAACGAUUUAGUAUAAUAAUUAAACCGAUUAACAAAAAUAAUAUAAUAAAUAUAUAUAUAUAUAUAUAUAUAUAUAUAAUUAUAUAUUAUAUAAUUAGUUAAUUAUAUUAUAAUUAUGUAUAUAAUUCAUUAAUUUUUGUUAAUUUUAAUUACUAUACUAAAUCGUUUAUUCAAAUUGCCAUCUUUCUUUUGACCAAUAAUCCGCCAUAUUUGAUCAUUCCGAACUGUCCCGAACAUGCUGGAUCAAUGGAUUCCCAAUGUUAAUCCAAAUAAAAUUUUAGACUCGUAGAAACUUCCGUGAAUAUUAAUCU